GACGAACGCUGGCGGCGUGCUUAACACAUGCAAGUCGAACGGAAAGGCCCUGCUUUUGUGGGGUGCUCGAGUGGCGAACGGGUGAGUAACACGUGAGUAACCUGCCCUUGACUUUGGGAUAACUUCAGGAAACUGGGGCUAAUACCGGAUAGGAGCUCCUGCUGCAUGGUGGGGGUUGGAAAGUUUCGGCGGUUGGGGAUGGACUCGCGGCUUAUCAGCUUGUUGGUGGGGUAGUGGCUUACCAAGGCUUUGACGGGUAGCCGGCCUGAGAGGGUGACCGGCCACAUUGGGACUGAGAUACGGCCCAGACUCCUACGGGAGGCAGCAGUGGGGAGUAUUGCACAGUGGGCGGAAGCCUGAUGCAGCAACGCCGCGUGCGGGAUGACGGCCUUCGGGUUGUAAACCGCUUUCGCCUGUGACGAAGCGUGAGUGACGGUAAUGGGUAAAGAAGCACCGGCUAACUACGUG
Molecule: ribosomal RNA, 468 nt
Filed under: uncultured bacterium
Lineage: Bacteria
Description: partial 16S ribosomal RNA
Rfam family: Bacterial small subunit ribosomal RNA
Source: RNAcentral